UAAUAAUUCUGGUUGGUUUUAAUUAAUUGUCAGUUGAUCCCAUGCCCUUUAUGUACAACAUGCAUGCCUGGUUCCCACUGUUCCUAGCCUGCCCAUCUCCCACCUUUGUCUGAAAGCAAGCAGUGCAAGCAUUCCCACAUUUUCAGCUCACCCAUUCUGAAGUCAUCAGAAGUUUUGGUUCCCAUUAAGAGGUGACAAAAUGUUUUCAAAACCAUUUAACAUCCAAGAGGAGAACAUGAGUUCUUCUGGAAGCCUGGGUCAGCACAAGAGAGGAGAGUGCUAUUCAUUGUAACAGUGGCUAGGGAAUGCACAUGCAGUCUUGGAACAUCCCCAGCUGCUUGCCUGCAGCAGGAUGGACACUUGCCACUGAAGCGUUGCCACCUCCUUGGGGUUACACAAGGCAGGCUUGCACCUGAAACCUGAACUGCAUCUGGCACCGAGAUGGCUGCACGGAGUUGCUCUCCUUUCUCCUGAGGUUGGCUGCAACCAUCGGUUUGCAUGUGGGGAAAAGCAUUCGCUUAACAAGCGAGUUGUCAUCUCUCCAGACACAGGAUAAGAAUGAAUGAACUGAAGAAGAGCCAGGUUAGAGCCUGGGGAACAUUUUCUGAUGCAGGGUGCAUGAGGCAGUAGCCCUGGCUGCCCAGGAAUGCACGUGUGAGAAGAGGUGAGGCACACAUCUGGGCAGGGCAGCACAAGCCACAGGGUCCAGUGGCACUCUUGGGGCUCAGCUUUACUAUUUCUUUGCUGCAGUUUCAGCUUGACACUUAAAGGUUUCAGCAAGGUGCUAUCAUUCCUGGAUCUCAUCCAGUCAUGCGAACAAGCAAGCCUUCACUCAGGAUUAUCAACAAGAAAUUCCUUCCUAGGAUAAAUGAAUGGCUGAUGAUGAUGAACAGAUACAGCCUCCCAUUGUUUUGUG
This 916-nucleotide long non-coding RNA is filed under the name Numida meleagris (helmeted guineafowl). RNAcentral describes it as "lncRNA (ENSNMEG00000016487.1)". The record is from RNAcentral. Lineage: Eukaryota; Metazoa; Chordata; Aves; Galliformes; Numididae.